AUGGCGCUCUUCAGGGCUUCUACCACCAUCUCCUUGGGCAAUGGGAGAAAAUCCUUAUUCUGGCACGACGACUGGACAGGACGGGGCCCCCUGUCCCGGGCCUUCUCGGAGCUGUAUAAGAUUGCCACCAGGAAGAGGAGAACUGUGAUGAAGGAGCUCCAGGAGGAGAUCUGGAUCAGAUCGGUGGCCCGUCUUUCAUCGCCUACCCAUCUGCAGGAGUUCAUUGCCCUCGCAUCAGCUAUCUCUCAGGUUGAGUUGAACCCGGACCAGGAGGACUCCAUCACUUGGUGGUGGACCCCAAAUGGCAUAUACUCUGCUGCUUCGGCCUACGCGGUCUAG
This 339-nucleotide ribosomal RNA is filed under the name Triticum aestivum (bread wheat). RNAcentral's name for it is "partial small subunit ribosomal RNA". The record is from RNAcentral. Lineage: Eukaryota; Viridiplantae; Streptophyta; Magnoliopsida; Poales; Poaceae.